GACGAACGCUGGCGGCGUGCUUAACACAUGCAAGUCGAACGAUGAAAGCUGGAGCUUGCUCCGGCUGGAUUAGUGGCGAACGGGUGAGUAACACGUGAGCAAUCUGCCCUUGACUCUGGGAUAACUCCGAGAAAUCGGUGCCAAUACCGGAUAUGACCCUUGGCGGCAUCGCUGGGGGUGGAAAGUUUUUCGGUCAAGGAUGAGCUCGCGGCCUAUCAGCGUGUUGGUGAGGUAAUGGCUCACCAAGGCGACGACGGGUAGCCGGCCUGAGAGGGUGACCGGCCACACUGGGACUGUGACACGGCCCAGACUCCUACGGGAGGCAGCAGUGGGGAAUAUUGCACAAUGGGCGCAAGCCUGAUGCAGCAACGCCGCGUGGGGGAUGACGGCCUUCGGGUUGUAAACCUCUUUUAGCAGGGAAGAAGCGAAAGUGACGGUACCUGCAGAAAAAGCACCGGCUAACUACGUGCCAGCCGCCGCGGUAA
This 485-nucleotide ribosomal RNA is filed under the name uncultured bacterium. Its description in RNAcentral is "partial 16S ribosomal RNA". It matches the Rfam family "Bacterial small subunit ribosomal RNA", at positions 28 to 523 of the family's 1533-position model. The record is from RNAcentral.